AAAAUAAUCCUACCCUUUGUGAAUUUUGUUUGUUUGAAUAAUUUUUUUUUUUUAAAAAAUUAUUGGAGUCUUUCCCUUUAGAGUUUGCUUUCGAGUUUGUAAAAGAAUUCGAAAACAUCUAAAGGGGAUGGUCAAUAAUUUUUUUUGAAAAAAGACAUUUUUUAAAAUUAAACUUUUUGUAUUCAUUUGUCUAAAAAUUAUUUUUAUAAUAUAAAAACAACUUUUGACAAUGGAUCUCUUGGUCUCGCAACGAUGAAGAACGCAGCAAAAUGCGAUAAGUAGUGUGAAUUGCAGAAUACGUGAAUCAUCGAAUCUUUGAACGCAUAUUGCACUUUUUUAGUUUACUAAAAAAGUAUGUCUGUUUGAGUAUCAGUAAAAUAUUCUCAUAAAAAUCAUUGUAUUUUUAUGGUUAUGAGUGUUUUACAACGAUACAAGUUGUUUCACUUUAAAUUUUUUUUUAAUAUUGAAAUUUUUCUAAUUUUAAUAAUUAAAAUUGGAUAAAAUUUUCCCGUCAAAUGGAAUAACCUAAACAAUUUUAAACGAUUAAUUUUAGCAAAAUUUUCGUAAAAAGGGAAAAUUUUUAUUAAAAUAACUUGAUCUCAAAUCAGAUAAGAGUACCCGCUGAACUUAAGCAUAUCAAUAAGCGGAGGAAAAGAAGCUAACAAGGAUUCCCUUAGUAACGGCGAGUGAAGCGGGAAGAGCUCAAAUUUGAAAUCUUCAAGGUUUUACCUUGACGAAUUGUAGUUUAAAGAAGUGUUUUCUGCUGAAGUUUUGGUAAAAGUUCUUUGGAAUAGGACAUCAUAAGGGUGAGAAUCCCGUAUUUGACCAUUAUUUUCAGCUUUGUGAUACACUUUCAAAGAGUCGGAUUGUUUGGGAAUGCAGUCCAAAUGGGUGGUAAAUUUCAUCUAAAGCUAAAUAUUGGCGAGAGACCGAUAGCGAACAAGUACCGUGAGGGAAAGAUGAAAAGAACUUUGAAAAGAGAGUUAAACAGUACGUGAAAUUGUCAAAAGGGAAGCGUUUGACACCAGUGUUGUUUUCUCGAAAAUCAAUUAAAAAUGGCUCGAUUUUGUAUUGCUUGAGACCUUAAAAGCUCACUGUACAUUUUUCGUGUCUUUUUUAAUGCACUUUUCGUUUAACAAGUCAACAUCAGUUUCUUUUGUUGUAAAAGGGUCAUUGGAAGGUGGCUUUCUUUUCGGAGAAAGUGUUUAUAGCCUUUGGCCUCUGCAAUCGGAGAGACUGAGGUCUGCAGCGUAGACUCUUCGGGUUAGAUACAUUUGUGCUAAGUUAUAGCUUUAUAUAGACAACUUGUUGACUAUAAUUAGUCUUGUAGCUUACUCGCUUAUGCUAUUU
RNAcentral lists this unclassified non-coding RNA (1350 nucleotides) under uncultured Neocallimastigales. RNAcentral describes it as "partial contains internal transcribed spacer 1, 5.8S ribosomal RNA, internal transcribed spacer 2, and large subunit ribosomal RNA". The stretch from base 595 to 1350 matches the Rfam family "Eukaryotic large subunit ribosomal RNA", at positions 1 to 617 of the family's 3401-position model. Lineage: Eukaryota; Fungi; Neocallimastigomycota; Neocallimastigomycetes; Neocallimastigales. The record is from RNAcentral.